RNAcentral lists this long non-coding RNA (1021 nucleotides) under Zonotrichia albicollis (white-throated sparrow). RNAcentral's name for it is "lncRNA (ENSZALG00000004277.1)". The record is from RNAcentral. Lineage: Eukaryota; Metazoa; Chordata; Aves; Passeriformes; Passerellidae.
NNNNNNNNNNNNNNNNNNNNNNNNNNNNNNNNNNNNGGGACAUUGGGGACAUCACAGGGACAUUGGGGAUACAGGGACAUUGGGGACAUUGGGGACAUUGGGGACAAUGGGGAUACAGGGACAUUGGGGACAUCCCAGGGACAUUGGAGAUACAGGGACAUUGGGGACAUCAUUGGGACACAGGAGAUACAGGGACAUUGAGGACAUUGGGGACAUCCCAGGGACAUUGGGGACAUCCCAGGGACAUUGGGGACAGCUGGUCGAUCUCGGAGUCACCGGGGAACAGCGCGCGGCGGGUGAUCUACGGGACAUUGGGGACAUUGGGGACAAUGGGGACAUCCCAGGGACAUUGGGGAUACAGGGACAUUGGGGACACUGCUGGGACACAGGGACAUUGGGGACAAUGAGGACAUUGGGGAUACAGGGACAUUGGGGAUACAGGGACAUUGGGGACAUUGGGGACAAUGGGGACAGCUGGUCGAUCUCGGAGUCACCGGGGAACAGCGCCCAGCGGGUGAUCUGGGGGACAUUGGGGACAUUGGGGACAUCACAGGGUCAUUGGGGAUACAGGGACAUUGGGGACAUUGGGGACAUCAUUGGGAUACAGGAGAUACAGGGACAUUGGGGACAUUGGGGACAUUGGGGACAAUGGGGAUACAGGGACAUUGGGGACAUCCCAGGGACAUUGGGGACACAGGGACAUUGGGGACAUUGGGACAUUGGGGACAUCAUUGGGACAGUGGGGACACUGGGACAUUGGGGACACUGGGGACAUUCCCAGGGGACACCCACAGGGGACACCGGGUUUGAUCUCAGAGCCCUGGGAGUGACCUGGGGACACACGGGGGUUUGGGGACAUCACUGGGGACAUCACUGGGGACACUCCCAGAGGGCUCUGGGGACACUGGGGACACAUUCCCAUGGGGUUCAGGGGUCACAAGGGACACCCCAGGGGGUUUGGGGACAUUUGGGACACCCCCAGGGGGGUUUGGGGACAUUUGGGACACCCCCAGGUGGGUUU